CCUACGGGAGGCAGCAGUAGGGAAUCUUCGGCAAUGGCCGAAAGUCUGACCGAGCAACGCCGCGUGAGUGAAGAAGGUUUUCGGAUCGUAAAACUCUGUUGGUAGAGAAGAACGUUGGUGAGAGUGGACAGCUCAUCAAGUGACGGUAACUACACCGCAGGGGAGGGCUAACUACGUGCCAGCAGCCGCGGUAAUACGUAGGUCCCGAGCGUUGUCCGGAUUUAUGGGGCGAAAAGCGAGCGCGGGGGGAUUGUUAAGUCUGGUGUAAAGGGCAGUGGCUCAAGCAUUGGAUGCAUUGGAUACUGGUAGACUGGAGUGCAGGAGAGGAGAGUGGAAUGCCAGGGGUAGCGGUGAAAUGCGUAGAUAUAUGGAAGAACACCGGUGGCGAAGGCGGCUCUCGGGCCUGUAACUGACGCUGAGGCUCGAAAGCGUGGGGAGCAAACAGGAUUAGAUACCCCUGUAGUC
Molecule: ribosomal RNA, 465 nt
Filed under: uncultured bacterium
Lineage: Bacteria
Description: partial 16S ribosomal RNA
Rfam family: Bacterial small subunit ribosomal RNA
Source: RNAcentral